This 632-nucleotide ribosomal RNA is filed under the name Echinococcus granulosus. RNAcentral's name for it is "partial 12S ribosomal RNA". The stretch from base 315 to 467 matches the Rfam family "Archaeal large subunit ribosomal RNA", at positions 1887 to 2086 of the family's 2987-position model. Lineage: Eukaryota; Metazoa; Platyhelminthes; Cestoda; Cyclophyllidea; Taeniidae. The record is from RNAcentral.
UGUUGUUUGGCCUGGGUAAGGUCUUGUAAACUAAAUUUAUGUGGUGAUAAGUGAGUCGUAAAGCUUUAUAACUGUUUGGUUGUUUAGAAUUUAGUGGGAUGUAGGUGGCUAUUAGGUCAUUUAUAUUUUUAUACAUUUGGUGAUGUGUGGUUUUUGAUAAGGUUAGAGGUACCUAGUUUUUGUUAUAUUGUUGUAAAUAUGGUUUUGUUGGUUUAUUGGUAUGUUAAUUGUUUGAACAACUGUUUUGCUAUAUUUGGUUAUUAUAUUAUCGUUGAAUAAGUAAUUUUAUUAUGCUAUUUAUUUCUUGAGUUCUUUCCGUCUGUUUAUUAAAAACAUUUCUAAUUUUAAUUGUAGUUAGUAGUGCCUGCCCAAUGUUGGUUAAUUAAUGGCCGCAGUAUAUUGACUGUGCAAAGGUAGCAUAAUUAAUUGCCUUUUAAUUGGAGGCUUGUUUGAAUGGUUUGACGUGAUUGGUAUGAAUAUUUGGUAUUUAGUUGAAAUUGAUUUUGAGGGUUUAGAAUCCUUAAUGUUUAAUAAGACGGAAAGACCCUAGGAUCUUUUGUUUUUGUUUGGGGCAAAUAUUGUUGUUUUAUGAAUAUUGUGACCCUGAGAUGAUAUUGGUUUAUUGGGUUAAG